RNAcentral lists this transfer RNA (72 nucleotides) under Nitrospirota bacterium. Its description in RNAcentral is "tRNA-Glu". It matches the Rfam family "tRNA". Rfam says of the family: Transfer RNA (tRNA) molecules are approximately 80 nucleotides in length. Their secondary structure includes four short double-helical elements and three loops (D, anti-codon, and T loops). The record is from RNAcentral. Lineage: Bacteria; Pseudomonadati; Nitrospirota.
GCCCUCGUCGUCUAUGGGCGAAGAUCUCGGGUUUUCACCCCGAAGAGCAGAGUUCGAGUCUCUGCGAGGGCA